CCCUUAGAUGUUCUGGGCCGCACGCGCGCUACACUGAUGCAUUCAACGAGUUUUUCCUGGUCCGAGAGGAAUGGGUAACCUUUUGAAAGUGCAUCGUGCUAGGGAUAGACUAUUGCAAUUAUUGGUCUUCAACGAGGAAUUCCUAGUAAACGCAAGUCAUCAGCUUGCAUUGAUUACGUCCCUGCCCUUUGUACGCACCGCCCGUCGCACCUACUGAUUGAAUGACUCGGUGAAAAAUCGGGACUGCGAGAACAAUCGAUUAAUUUCGAAUGUACUUGUGGGAACUUUUUUUAACCUCGCCAUUUAGAAGAAGGUGAAGUCGUAACA
RNAcentral lists this ribosomal RNA (327 nucleotides) under uncultured eukaryote. RNAcentral describes it as "partial 18S ribosomal RNA". It matches the Rfam family "Eukaryotic small subunit ribosomal RNA", at positions 1470 to 1796 of the family's 1831-position model. The record is from RNAcentral.